Long non-coding RNA from Zonotrichia leucophrys gambelii, 5190 nucleotides. RefSeq lists it as uncharacterized. Lineage: Eukaryota; Metazoa; Chordata; Aves; Passeriformes; Passerellidae. The record is from RefSeq and is a predicted model, not a curated record. The transcript has 6 exons.
GGCCUCUUAGGACAGCUAAAGGGAGAGGCUCUACUUUUGAUGGCAGCUUUCAGGCGGGCAGUGCAGAACAGCUCUGGUUUGUGUCGUGGUUUCCGGUGUGCCGUGUUCCCUAGUGUGUCUUUGGGGUCCCUUUUGCCUUCUUCCCUCGAGGCCCUCACCACAAGCAUGAUGUGUGGUGUUUGAUGUCCCCCUGUUUGUCACGUUCUGUGUCACGGGUGUCUGCACACAUACGGGUGCCGGAGCUGUUCUGCCCUGCCGCAUGGCCAGCUGCAAUGGGACAAGCCCUGGGGAGUGUAAAUUUGUAAUGGGGGCUGUACUUGGGCUCUAGAUGCUAUUCCUAGAUGGACCUAAGGUGUUUGCAGCUUAUCCUGGUGGUGUUUGACACAUGUUCUAACUUUCUUUCAGGUGCAGAUGCAUUGCAUCCAUGGCAGAGGGUCAGAGUUAGCAGGUGCCGGGCCUUCCUAGGAGCAGGCUGUCUGAGAGACACCGGCCCGGUGACAGCAGGACCUUCCCAGCUGACGAGGUGGCCUUUCUUUGCACCUGGCACGGACUGGCAUCGCCAGAUGUCUGAGAGAUAAGUAGAGGGCUAUGACCCACAGAGGGGAUGAAGGCAGGGUGCUGGUUUGGGAAUUACUGGGAGGGGUUUUUGAGUCCAGUUUGGCGGUGGGGGGGUGUCCAUGAAGUGGCCCCUUAGGCCCCAUGAAAGCAAAGUCUCACCUUUGAUCACAGUGCUGAGGCGUUCAGGGCAGAGCAGUCCCGGUGUGUCUGGUGUCACUUGUCUGCUGUGCAUUAUGUGUUGUUUGUGUAUCUCCUGUCUUUUACCUUAGCACUUUGAGGGGCCUGUCAGAAACCUUGGCAUCAUUGUUAGCAUCUGUGAUCUCUGCAUUCCUUGGCCUGGCACCCAGGCCAUAGAACUUUUGACUCGGGAGCUCAGACAGGCAUCAGACUCUUCUCUCUUUGGAAGCAUCCAGUCAGAUGUCUUGUCAGGUCUUGUUCUGAGCUGUACGGACAGCUGUGCCCCACCUGGAUCCAUUAUGGUGGAUUAGGGCUUGAAAGAAUGUGAGGGCAGGCAGAGGAUUCUGACCAUAGGAUUCCUAGGCAUCCAUCUUUACUGUUCUUGGAAUCAAUCAUUCAGUUAGCAUCUUCUUCCUGCAGUGUUCUCUGAGCCUCAUCAGCUCACCGUCAGUUUGAACUCAGUCAUCUCCUUUUGCAUGCUCUCAGUCCUUGCAGCCAUUUUCCUUGCCAAGAGAUUUCUGUUCCUGUUGUGUCCCCGUUGUGUGUCCUGUCCUGUCUGUCCUGUGUCACGGGUGUCAGCACACAUUUGUGCCGGGGCUGCUCUGCCCUGCCGCAUAGCCUGGUGCGAUAGGAGAGGGCCCGGGGACUUGGAAUGUGUAAUGUGGGGUGUAGUUGGACUCUAGAUGGGAUUUGUAGAUGGACACAGGACAUCUGGAGCUCUUAAGGUAUCCUGCCUCCCUUUGGCUUUUGUCCUGACUUUGUUUCAGAUGCACCUCCUCAGGUGACUGCAGUGGUUCUCUCGGUUCUAUCUUCUCAAAGGAUGUAGGUCUCAAGAAUUCAUCUUCCAGAAGUUAUCUCCAGUCCUGGCUUGUGUUGUCCCCGAGGCUGCUGAUUUCCCCAGGAUCUGCCAUUUACUUCAAGGAGCAGCAGCCAGAAGAUGUGUCACAGCACGUUCUUCAGCGUCUCAGGUUUUGCAACUCAUUUUUAAAGUUAGAAUAAAAAAUCCUCAGCCGGGUUAUAUUGUAUGUACUGACAUGGAAUGUACCCAUGUUGGCUUAAAACCCAGUAAAACAGACGAAGAUGGGUAAGAAAAAACCCAGAAAAAAACCCCAACAAGAUGGGCAAGAAAAAAACCCAGAAAAGAACCCGAAGACGGGCAAGAAAAAAUCCAGAAAAAAACCCCGAAGAUGGGCAUGAAGAGACCCAGAAAAAACCCAGAGAAAACCCAGAAAAACAAUUCCAAGAAGGGCAAGAAAAGACCCGGAAAACACCCAGAAAAAAUCGCAACCAAAGUAUAAAUAUAUAAAUGUCUUUCAAAUAUAUAGAGAAUUGUUAAAUUAUUUAAAAUACAAAAUAACAUAAAUCAAUAUCUGCAUAUAAGAUCCAUAAUACCAGUAAUACUGUAUAUAUCUUAUUAUAGUGUAUUAUAGGAAAUAGAUAUAAAUAAAUUUAUAUCAAUUUUAUGUUUAUCAUAUCUAUAAUUUGUUAUAUAUUACACCAUAUUGAUAUAAGUUUUUUAAAGCAGUUUAACAUAAAGGGGGGUUUUGUUUUUUAUUUGGCAAAAGCAGGGGUUUUAGUACAAAAAUGAUAGAUACAAAUAAUAUAAAGGUAGAAAUCUAAGUAUAGAAAGAGAUCAUAAAUAGGUAAAGGCUAAUAUAAAAUUAAAAAUCUAAGAUAAAAUAAGUUGUAGCAGUACAUAUGGUACAUAAUUUAAAAAAUACUUUAUUUCUAUUAUUUGAAUAGGACACAUAUUAUAUAUCAUGAUUAAUAUAAUGCUUAAAUAUAAACUAUAAAUAUAAAUGGGAAUAUAGUCAUGCAAGCUAUAAAUAUAAAAAUAUUUCAAUAUAGUUUAAAAGCAUAGAGCUUUUUUGUAUUUUUAGUUAGUAUGGGAAUUUUAUUUUAAAUAAUUAAAAUUACAUUUCUAUCAUGCUUUUAACAUAGAAAUAUACAAUAAAUAUAGAAAGAUAUUUAUAAAACCACAAAAUAUAAAUAAAUAUAAACAGUAGGAAUAGACAGAAUAUAUUUUAUAAAUUACAUGCUACAUCAAUGUCCACUAUAAAUAUGCAUGUGAAUAUAAAUACGAAAAAUAGGACUAUCAAAUUGGUUUUAAUAGGAUUUUAAAGCAAGGCGGUUUGUUUGGUUCUGGUCGGGUAAGAGGCAGGUUUUUGGCAUUUAUUUCAGAGCAGUUUUUGUCUGGGGUCGCCCCUGUUCUUUUUUGCCGCCUUCGCUGCCCGCAACCCCGAGGCGCGCUGCGCCCCCGUCUGGGGCGGGCGGCAGUGCUGCCGCCUUGUGGGCAGAGCGCGGUACUGCAGCCGUGCGCCGGCAGGCAGCCGAGAGGCCGCCAUGCUGGGAGUGGCGUGUCGCGGGUGUCUCGGACUUUUCGUUGACCUUCUCGAGAUGGCGGGGAAGUGGAGGACCCCGGUGGGUGUAAGUGAACUGCCUGCAUGGAAUACCGACGUCAUGGCGGCCCCGACGGAUUUUUCUGCGGCGUUUGAAGCGUAUCCGAUACAUGCUGUGGGCUCAGCGUCGCCGCGGGCGGGCAUAUUUCUGCGGGUUUGUGACAGGCAUCUGGGUAAACCUGGCCUGUCUGCGCCGGGGUCCUCUCAUGCCCGCUCUCCCGCCCUCAGCGAGCCGAGCCGGGCUGAACUGUUCCGAAGAUCCGAGUGUGGCCGAAAAUAACCGAGUUUAGCUUAAGAGACCAGGAUAGCCUAGUGUAGCUGACAUUAGCCGCGUUAGGACAAAGAGCCGCAUGAGGUUAGCCAGUAGCCGGGAGUGGCCUGGUGGCUCCUGAAAUUCCACGAUAGGCAGGAUGGUUCCCAGACCCAAGCUGGCCCCAGUGCCAAGUCGGGCUGACGUGAUAGCGCCUCGUGGCUCCUGCAGUGUGCCAUCCAGAAGCGGGGCAGACAGCCAGUUCUGAAGCACUGAGCAGAGAUCUGCCCGGGAGGAAGAGCAGAGCCAAUCUCUGAGAGCUGACGCGCGAGCUGUGGUGAGGACAGCUGCUCCCUGCCUGCAGCCUGCCUUGGUGUGGGAGCUGCUGAGCUGCCAUUCCUGUGGUGGGAGUGUUUCUCCUCUCAUCGAGCCAAGCCAGAGACCUGCUAGGGAAGGAGCAGACUCAUCACGGCAGGACGGCGUGAAGGCUGAAAGCGUAAGAAGAUGUGGAGGGAAGCAGAGAAUCUGACAGGAGCAUCGAACGCGCGAGCGCACGAAUUUUGCUUUUUGCUUGGGUGUAAACUCAGGAGUUGAAAGGAAUUUGGGAGUGAGAAGGGACAUUUCAGAAGGUGAAGAAGAAAAAGAAGUGUUGUUGUUGUUGUUACAGGCCUGGCAAAAUCUUUUGUUCUAGCUAAUAAAAGAAGUUAGUUUAAAUAAAAAAAAGAAAAAAAAAAUGUAGUUUUUCUUUACCUGACUAUUAUAUUCAUUGGUGGUAUAUGGUGUGUUGUUUAAUUUCUUGGUAUGAUUAACUCAGUGUAAGUUGUUUUUUGAGUGAACUAACUUUCUGGAUGGGUUGGUUUGUAUUUGAGACAGGAUUGAUUUCAAUAGGUUUCUUUCAUAGACUUGUGAUAGGUAUUACUGGGGUUUUGGCUUUGUUUACUGUAUGCAUAAACAUCCAGCUUUGGUUGGGCCAGCUGGGCUGCCGGAGUUUGUGGGUGUGAAUUUAUUCGAUGGCUUUUGUUAAAUGCAGUGUUUAAUUUUUGACAGGUUUUUCAAUGUAGUGGUUUUAAGGUGGUUUUUAGAAUUGAUUGUAUGGUUUGAUGUUGUUUAUAGUUGCUGUCCGGUAAGGGAUGUGGUGUGAGUACUUGAACGUUAUGGUUUUGGUUUUCCUAAGUUCCGUUUUCUUUCUGGUUCGAUAGGUUUUUUUAGUUUUAUUUUUGGUGCCAGGGGUAUUCACGUGGUGGGUUUUUAUAGGCAAUAUGUUUUUUAAUUUGGGUAGUGAUAUUUUUUAGUAUUUUAACAGUUUAGAUUUUUUAUUUUUAUGCUUUGAAUUAGUUUUCUUUUAAUUUUAAAUUAAGUUUUAUAGAUUAUUGGUUUUUAUUUGUGCAUUAGCAUAAAGGUAGAGCUUUGGGGGCUUCUUUUAGUACUGUUUAGGGUCAGUUGUACAGUUUUGAGUCUAGUGAGUUGGUUUGAUUUAAUUUUUAGUGGGUGUUUGUUUUUCUUAGCAGUUGUGUCAUUUUCAAGGUGUAUUUGAGGUUUUUGGGGUUUUUGAGAUAUUGGUUUAGGAGGACGUUUAUGAUGAGCAUGUGCGCAGGUUUUGGGCUAGUUGAAGUGGGAUUUAAAAUUUAUUUUGGGUUAGGUUUAUUUGAGUGUUUAUGAGGGUUCAGUGUUGUGGGAUGUUUGUUCCGUUAGUAAUAAAAAUAGGUUUUGUUUUGAUGUGCUGCGAUGGGAUGAGCGUGUGCUGCGUGCCGGUGCUGACAAAGGUACGGUAUUGUUGUGGCUUAUUUAUAUGGUUUAAUAUAGAGG